GAUGAACGCUGGCGGCGUGCUUAACACAUGCAAGUCGAACGGAAAGGCCCUGCUUUUGUGGGGUGCUCGAGUGGCGAACGCGUGAGUAACACGUGAGUAACCUGCCCUUGACUGUGGGAUAACUUCAGGAAACUGGGGCUAAUACCGGAUAGGAGCUCCUGCUGCAUGGUGGGGGUUGGAAAGUUUCGGCGGUUGGGGAUGGACUCGCGGCUUAUCAGCUUGUUGGUGGGGUAGUGGCUUUCCAAGGCUUUGAAGGGUAGCCGGCCUGAGAGGGUGACCGGCCACAUGGGGACUGAGAUACGGCCCAGACUCCUACGGGAGGCAGCAGUGGGGAAUAUUGCACAAUGGGCGGAAGCCUGAUGCAGCAACGCCGCGUGCGGGAUGACGGCCUUCGGGUUGUAAACCGCUUUCGCCUGUGACGAAGCGUGAGUGACGGUAAUGGGUAAAGAAGCACCGGCUAACUACGUG
RNAcentral lists this ribosomal RNA (468 nucleotides) under uncultured bacterium. RNAcentral describes it as "partial 16S ribosomal RNA". It matches the Rfam family "Bacterial small subunit ribosomal RNA", at positions 28 to 507 of the family's 1533-position model. The record is from RNAcentral.